CCCAUAGAGACACAUAGGGACCCAUAGAGACCCCAUAGGGACCCAUAGGGACCCAUAGAGACCCAUAGGGACCCAUAGAGACACAUAGGGACCCAUAGGGACCCAUAGAGACCCAUAGAGACCCAUAGAGACACAUAGGGACACAUAGAGACACAUAGAGACCCAUAGAGACCCAUAGAGACCCAUAGGGACCCAUAGGGACCCAUAGAGACCCAUAGAGACCCCACCCACCCCUCCCCACUUCCUCCCCCCCCAUCAAUGGGGCCUGUAUCCAUUGAGAGCACCUUUAUUUCUGUGGGGCUGGAGGCACUUGUGGGGCGGAGUGUGGGGCAGCCCCACAGGGCUCAGCUGGGGGGGCACUUGUGGGGCAGAGGAGUCACUUAUGGGGCUGAGAGACCACUUGUGGGUCUCACUAUGGGGCUGAGAGUCACUUAUGGGUCUCCCAAUGGGGCAGAGGAGUCACUUGUAGGGUACAGGAGUCACUUAUGGGGCAGAGGGGUCACUUAUGGGGCAGAGGAGUCACUUAUGGGGCAGAGGGUCACUUAUGGGUCUCACUAUGGGGCUGAGGGGUCACUUGUGGGGCAGAGGGGUCACUUAUGGGGCAGAGGGGUCACUUAUGGGGCUGAGAGACCACAUGUGGGUCUCACUAUGGGGCUGAGGGGUCACUUGUGGGGCAGAGGGGUCACUUAUGGGGCAGAGGGACCACUUGUGGGUCUCUCUAUGGGGCAGAGGGUUCACUUAUAGGGCAGAGGGUUCACUUAUGGGGCAGAGGGUUCACUUAUAGGGCUGAGGAGUCACUUAUAGGGCUUAGAGUCACUUAUGGGUCUCGCUAUGGGGCUGGGAGUCACUUGUGGGGUGGGAGUCGCUAUGGGGCUGGGGGUCGCUAUGGGGCUGGGGGUUGCUAUGGGGCUCAGAGUCGCUAUGGGGCUCAGAGUCGCUAUGGGGCUGGGGGUCGCUAUGGGGCUGGGUGUCGCUAUGGG
This 980-nucleotide long non-coding RNA is filed under the name Coturnix japonica (Japanese quail). RNAcentral describes it as "lncRNA (ENSCJPG00005002124.1)". The record is from RNAcentral. Lineage: Eukaryota; Metazoa; Chordata; Aves; Galliformes; Phasianidae.